This 394-nucleotide ribosomal RNA is filed under the name uncultured bacterium. Its description in RNAcentral is "bacterial SSU rRNA". It matches the Rfam family "Bacterial small subunit ribosomal RNA", at positions 370 to 772 of the family's 1533-position model. The record is from RNAcentral.
AAUGGGCGCAAGCCUGAUGCAGCGACGCCGCGUGCGGGAUGACGGCCUUCGGGUUGUAAACCGCUUUUGACUGGGAGCAAGCCCUUCGGGGUGAGUGUACCUUUCGAAUAAGCACCGGCUAACUACGUGCCAGCAGCCGCGGUAAUACGUAGGGUGCAAGCGUUAUCCGGAAUUAUUGGGCGUAAAGGGCUCGUAGGCGGUUCGUCGCGUCCGGUGUGAAAGUCCAUCGCUUAACGGUGGAUCCGCGCCGGGUACGGGCGGGCUUGAGUGCGGUAGGGGAGACUGGAAUUCCCGGUGUAACGGUGGAAUGUGUAGAUAUCGGGAAGAACACCAAUGGCGAAGGCAGGUCUCUGGGCCGUCACUGACGCUGAGGAGCGAAAGCGUGGGGAGCGAA